AGUGAACGCUGGCGGUAGGCCUAACACAUGCAAGUCGAACGGCAGCACAGUAAGAGUUUGCUCUUACGGGUGGCGAGUGGCGGACGGGUGAGGAAUACAUCGGAAUCUACUUUUUCGUGGGGGAUAACGUAGGGAAACUUACGCUAAUACCGCAUACGACCUACGGGUGAAAGCAGGGGAUCUUCGGACCUUGCGCGAUUGAAAGAGCCGAUGUCGGAUUAGCUAGUUGGCGGGGUAAAGGCCCACCAAGGCGACGAUCCGUAGCUGGUCUGAGAGGAUGAUCAGCCACACUGGAACUGAGACACGGUCCAGACUCCUACGGGAGGCAGCAGUGGGGAAUAUUGGACAAUGGGCGCAAGCCUGAUCCAGCCAUACCGCGUGAGUGAAGAAGGCCUUCGGGUUGUAAAGCCCUUUUGUUGGGAAAGAAAAGCAGCAGGUUAAUACCCCGCUGUUCUGACGGUACCCAAAGAAUAAGCACCGGCUAACUUCGUG
Molecule: ribosomal RNA, 492 nt
Filed under: uncultured bacterium
Lineage: Bacteria
Description: partial 16S ribosomal RNA
Rfam family: Bacterial small subunit ribosomal RNA
Source: RNAcentral